GGGGCUAGCGCAGGCUACACAUGCAGUCGAACGGUAGCACAGACAGCUUGCUCUUGGGUGACGAGUGGCGGACGGGUGAGUAAUGUCAGGGAGACUGCCUGAUGGAGGGGGAUAACUACUGGAGACGGUAACUCAUACCGCACAAUGUCGCAAGACCAAAGAGGGGGACCUUCGGGGCUCUUGCCAUCAGAUGUGCCCAGAUGGGAUUAGCUAGUAGGGGGGGUAACGGCUCACCUAAGCGACCAUACCUAGCUGGACUGAGAGGAUGACCACCCACACUGUGACUGAGACACGGUCCACACACCUACGGGAGGCAGCAGUGGGGAAUAUUGCAGAAUGGGCGCAAGCCUGAUGCAUCCCUGCCGCGUGUAUGAAGAAGGCCUUCUGGUUGUAAAGUAC
RNAcentral lists this ribosomal RNA (399 nucleotides) under Enterobacter sp. PD-P16. Its description in RNAcentral is "bacterial SSU rRNA". It matches the Rfam family "Bacterial small subunit ribosomal RNA", at positions 35 to 433 of the family's 1533-position model. Lineage: Bacteria; Pseudomonadati; Pseudomonadota; Gammaproteobacteria; Enterobacterales; Enterobacteriaceae. The record is from RNAcentral.